Molecule: ribosomal RNA, 816 nt
Filed under: uncultured bacterium
Lineage: Bacteria
Description: bacterial SSU rRNA
Rfam family: Bacterial small subunit ribosomal RNA
Source: RNAcentral
GUGCCAGCAGCCGCGGUAAUACGGAGGAUGCAAGCGUUAUCCGGAUUCAUUGGGUUUAAAGGGUGCGCAGGUGGGCUUGUAAGUCAGUGGUGAAAUGCUGCCGCUUAACGGUAGAAUUGCCAUUGAUACUGUGAGUCUUGAGUAUGGUUGAGGUAGGCGGAAUGUGCAGUGUAGCGGUGAAAUGCAUAGAUAUUGCACAGAACUCCGAUUGCGAAGGCAGCUUACUAAUCCAUUACUGACGCUGAGGCACGAAAGCGUGGGGAGCGAACAGGAUUAGAUACCCUGGUAGUCCACGCCGUAAACGAUGUUCACUCGCUGUUUGCGAUACACAGCAAGCGGCUGAGCGAAAGCAUUAAGUGAACCACCUGGGGAGUACGAUCGCAAGGUUGAAACUCAAAGGAAUUGACGGGGGCCCGCACAAGCGGAGGAACAUGUGGUUUAAUUCGAUGAUACGCGAGGAACCUUACCUGGGCUUAAAUGUAGAUUGCAUUCCCGUGAAAGCGGGAUUCCCUUCGGGGCUAUUUGCAAGGUGCUGCAUGGUUGUCGUCAGCUCGUGCCGUGAGGUGUCGGGUUAAGUCCCAUAACGAGCGCAACCCCUACUGUUAGUUGCCAUCGGGUGAAGCCGGGGACUCUAGCGGGACUGCCACCGUAAGGUGAGAGGAAGGUGGGGAUGACGUCAAAUCAGCACGGCCCUUAUGUCCAGGGCUACACACGUGUUACGAUGGCCGGUACAAAGGGCAGCUACCUGGUGACAGGAUGCUAAUCCCAAAAGCCGGUCCCAGUUCGGAUUGGAGUCUGCAACCCGACUCCAUGAAG